GAACCGUACGAACGUUAUUCGGAUUCACUGGGCUUAAAGCGUGCGUAGGCGGCUGGGAAAGUUGGGUGUGAAAUCCCUCGGCUCAACCGAGGAAUUGCGCUCAAAACUACCUGGCUCGAGGAAGAUAGAGGUGAGCGGAACUAAUGGUGGAGCGGUGAAAUGCGUUGAUAUCAUUAGGAACACCUGUGGCGAAAGCAGCUCACUGGGUCUUUUCUGACGCUGAGGCACGAAAGCUAGGGGAGCGAACGGGAUUAGAUACCCCGGUAGUCCUAGCUGUAAACGAUGAGCACUGGGUUGAGGGGACUUCCACAUCCUCCCGGCCGUAGCGAAAGUGUUAAGUGCUCCGCCUGGGGAGUAUGGUCGCAAGGCUG
This 371-nucleotide ribosomal RNA is filed under the name uncultured bacterium. Its description in RNAcentral is "bacterial SSU rRNA". It matches the Rfam family "Bacterial small subunit ribosomal RNA", at positions 527 to 896 of the family's 1533-position model. The record is from RNAcentral.